RNAcentral lists this unclassified non-coding RNA (1191 nucleotides) under Hevea brasiliensis (rubber tree). The record is from RNAcentral. Lineage: Eukaryota; Viridiplantae; Streptophyta; Magnoliopsida; Malpighiales; Euphorbiaceae.
GGAGAACCAUCAGGAUAUUUCCAGAGCAAAGUGACAGAGGGGCAUCGGAUUUUUUUUGGGGAAAUAAGGGAGGAGUUCAGCAACAGUGUUUAGGGCAAAAACCAUGAAUUUCACCAUCUAAAUCUUCCUAUUCUCGAUUAGUUCUUGGUCACCAAGCACUCACCUCCUCUCUAACCUACAGAAUUUGUUAUCUCCCCACCCUAGAAUUUCAAUUUGAGUGAGGAAUUGAGUAACACCACUGUUGUCUCCUUCUAGCCACACCAUUUCUGACACCUCUGGAAACUUAAACCUCUUCUUGCUUCUCCUUAGCUUGCAUUAGACCCUCUUUCGAUGUACUUUUGAUCUGAGAAUUAAGAGGGAAGGAAAGGGCAGAUUGGGGAAACAUAACGUUCGAUUUCAAUUCACCAAGUUGCAGCAAAAUUCCAACUCAUUGCUGCCAUGUUGACUGUUGAGACAUCCUCUUCUUGUUGCAGCUAACUGAUGGUUCAUUUUCAUGGGCAUCCCACAACCCAUGUGUUGGCAGUACACAUAUGAAUAAUUAGGUAACCCAAAACCACUCAAUUCUUUAAGUCUUGAUGCUCAAUUUGCUACGGGUUAUUGGAUUUGAGAUUUAUUAAAGGGUAUAGAGUUCUAGAUAAAUUGGAGAGAUUUAUGUGGCUAAAGAUUAAUGGAUCAAGUCUCAAUAGACGAUUUAAGUAUUUGUGAUAGAAGGGUGAUGGGUGUGAUGUGGUUGAAGGGGAAUAGGUGUGGGAUGAAAACUAUCAAUUGUAUCACUCUAAAGAACGUAGCUUAUUGGAUGAGGGGUUCGUGCACAGAAUAUGACAGACCUGAUUUGUUCUACCCCAUAUGGAGAUAGCAACGCAAACAUUGCAACGUACUCACUGUGUAUGUCACCAAAAAAAGGAGAUUGACAUUUAAGAAUCGAAACUUUGGGCCUGAUAUUUUGGUCAAUUAGGCGAUUGGUUGAGCAUGUGGUUGGUACAGGAGCAACUAGCAAAGCAUUGCGAGUGCAAGAGUGUGAACAGCUUCACGGUGUGAUGCUGUGGUUGGUGGCGCAUAGUGUUGAUGCCGGUGAAGGCAACCAAGCGACUAUUUGGGUCCAGCAGUUUAUUUAUUUAUUUAUCUUCAUCCUUUUUAUUGUUCUGGAGCCCUUAUUCUUUUGAGCUUAACACCAAUUGGUAAGCAAUCACU